ACAGUGAAGCUCUACCACAUGCCCUGCCACAGCCUGGGCCCCAGGGGUCCUGAAGUUCUGAAAGUUCAAGAUUGAGGAGUUGCAUCUGGGGAAUGCUUUCUUGCUGGUGGACACCCAAGACACUACAAGGCAUCACCGGGAAGAAAAUUAUCAAGAAGCAGUGAUGAAUCAAGUUAAGACACAGAAGACGAGCCCUAGCAAGGCCAGAAUAACUGAAAGAAAAUA
This is a long non-coding RNA of Fukomys damarensis (Damara mole-rat), 225 nucleotides long. RefSeq lists it as uncharacterized. Lineage: Eukaryota; Metazoa; Chordata; Mammalia; Rodentia; Bathyergidae. The record is from RefSeq and is a predicted model, not a curated record. The transcript is spliced from 3 exons.